GCGAACGGACGAGAAGCUUGCUUCUCUGAUGAUUAGCGGCGGACGGGUGAGUAACACGUGGAUAACCUACCUAUAAGACUGGGAUAACUUCGGGAAACCGGAGCUAAUACCGGAUAAUAUUUUGAACCGCAUGGUUCAAAAGUGAAAGACGGUCUUGCUGUCACUUAUAGAUGGAUCCGCGCUGCAUUAGCUAGUUGGUAAGGUAACGGCUUACCAAGGCAACGAUGCAUAGCCGACCUGAGAGGGUGAUCGGCCACACUGGAACUGAGACACGGUCCAGACUCCUACGGGAGGCAGCAGUAGGGAAUCUUCCGCAAUGGGCGAAAGCCUGACGGAGCAACGCCGCGUGAGUGAUGAAGGUCUUCGGAUCGUAAAACUCUGUUAUUAGGGAAGAACAUAUGUGUAAGUAACUGUGCACAUCUUGACGGUACCUAAUCAGAAAGCCACGGCUAACUACGUGCCAGCAGCCGCGGUAAUACGUAGGUGGCAAGCGUUAUCCGGAAUUAUUGGGCGUAAAGCGCGCGUAGGCGGUUUUUUAAGUCUGAUGUGAAAGCCCACGGCUCAACCGUGGAGGGUCAUUGGAAACUGGAAAACUUGAGUGCAGAAGAGGAAAGUGGAAUUCCAUGUGUAGCGGUGAAAUGCGCAGAGAUAUG
Molecule: ribosomal RNA, 653 nt
Filed under: uncultured Staphylococcus sp.
Lineage: Bacteria; Bacillati; Bacillota; Bacilli; Caryophanales; Staphylococcaceae
Description: bacterial SSU rRNA
Rfam family: Bacterial small subunit ribosomal RNA
Source: RNAcentral